ACCGCGAUAGGUCAAGAUUUCUGGAAUGGAUCCUGGCUUAAAUCUACAUGGCCCCUGGAUUGGACUGCGGCCGAUCAGGCUGUUGGUGAGGUAAUGGCCCACCAAACCUAUAACCGGUACGGGCUCUGAGAGGAGAAGCCCGGAGAUGGGCACUGAGACGAGGGCCCAGGCCCUAUGGGGCGCAGCAGGCGCGAAACCUCUGCAAUGGGCGAAAGCCUGACAGGGUUACUCUGAGUGAUUUCCGCUAAGGAGAUCUUUUGGCAGCUCUAAAAAUGGUGCAGAAUAAGGGGUGGGCAAGUCUGGUGUCAGCCGCCGCGGUAAUACCAGCACCCCGAGUGGUCGGGACGAUUAUUGGGCCUAAAGCAUCCGUAGCCGGUUGUGCAAGUCCUCCGUUAAAUCCAGCCGCUCAACGGAUGGGCUGCGGAGGAUACUACAGGACUAGGAGGCGGGAGAGGCAAGCGGUACUUAGUGGGUAGGGGUAAAAUCCUUUGAUCCAUUGAAGACCACCAGUGGCGAAGGCGGCUUGCCAGAACGCGCUCGACGGUGAGGGAUGAAAGCUGGGGGAGCAAACCGGAUUAGAUACCCGGGUAGUCCCAGCUGUAAACGAUG
This 609-nucleotide ribosomal RNA is filed under the name uncultured archaeon. RNAcentral's name for it is "bacterial SSU rRNA". It matches the Rfam family "Archaeal small subunit ribosomal RNA", at positions 150 to 762 of the family's 1478-position model. The record is from RNAcentral.